RNAcentral lists this ribosomal RNA (429 nucleotides) under uncultured bacterium. RNAcentral describes it as "bacterial SSU rRNA". It matches the Rfam family "Bacterial small subunit ribosomal RNA", at positions 355 to 776 of the family's 1533-position model. The record is from RNAcentral.
UGGGGAAUAUUGGACAAUGGACGAAAGCCCGAUCCAGCGAUGCCGCGUGUGUGAAGAAGGCCUUCGGGUUGUAAAGCACUUUUGUUGGGGACGAAAAAAACUAGGCUAAUAUCCUAGUUAUUGACUUAACCCAAAGAAUAAGCACCGGCUAACUCUGUGCCAGCAGCCGCGGUAAGACAGAGGGUGCAAGCGUUAAUCGGAAUUACUGGGCGUAAAGGGCUUGUAGGCGGUUACUUUAGUCGGAUGUUAAAUCCCCGGGCUUAACCUGGGGCUGUCAUUCGAUACUGGGUAACUUAGAGUUGAGUAGAGGUAAGUGGAAUUUCCGGUGUAGCGGUGAAAUGCGUAGAUAUCGGAAGGAACAUCAGUGGCGAAGGCGGCUUACUGGACUCAAACUGACGCUGAGGAGCGAAAGCGUGGGGAGCAAACAGG